GCUGUGCUGCAAUGGUGGUGAAGGGAUUGAAGAAGAAGGCUGUGGUGAAGGGGAAGAAGCAGACACUCAAGUUCACGAUUGAUUGCACCCAGCCAGUCGACGACACCAUCUUGACCACUGCGGAUUUGGAGAAGUUCCUCAAGGAAAGAACCAAGGUGGAUGGAAAGACUGGCAACCUUGGAGACAAGGUGCAGUUCUCCCGUGAGGGAAAGAAG
This 215-nucleotide small nuclear RNA is filed under the name Symbiodinium sp. clade D. RNAcentral's name for it is "partial Dictyostelium signal recognition particle". Lineage: Eukaryota; Dinophyceae; Suessiales; Symbiodiniaceae. The record is from RNAcentral. RNAcentral also lists the same sequence under 1 other name.